CAACUUACCUGGCAGGGUAGAGACCGCGGUCACGAAGGGGGUUCUCCCAGAGUGAAGCUUCUUCAUCGCACUCUAGUAAGAGUUGUUGAUCCCUGUGAUUUCCUCAAUGUGGGAAACUGUUUGUACUAGA
This is a small nuclear RNA of Papio anubis (olive baboon), 130 nucleotides long. Its record names the gene U1. It matches the Rfam family "U1 spliceosomal RNA". From Rfam's summary of the family: U1 is a small nuclear RNA (snRNA) component of the spliceosome (involved in pre-mRNA splicing). Its 5' end forms complementary base pairs with the 5' splice junction, thus defining the 5' donor site of an intron. There are significant differences in sequence and secondary structure between metazoan and yeast U1 snRNAs, the latter being much longer (568 nucleotides as compared to 164 nucleotides in human). Lineage: Eukaryota; Metazoa; Chordata; Mammalia; Primates; Cercopithecidae. The record is from Ensembl.